CUUUAUUACCUGCUGCCUCCCAAAGCAUAAUCCAAACUACAAACUGCCUACCUUUCCAAGUUUGACAACUUUCAUACAUCGUCCGCGUGGAUUUCAGCUUUUCACAACUCCCGCGAGAACCAUGGAUGUUAGUAUACAUAUAAACUUUCUUCUCCACUUCAAUCACUAUCUAAUAAAUAAACCGCAUCAAAAUCCGUUGCGUAGUUUUAAAGAUUUAAGCAUACACAGGGACAGAGAAAGCGACUUUGUUUUAUAAUAUGUAGUGAUAAACCCCAGCCUGUAGACGCCUUUAUGUUAAAAAGACCCACUUUAGAACAACUUAUUUGCAGUUAAAUUGUUAUACAAUUAUGAUAAUUAACCGACCGAUUAUGAAAAUUAAAAACGCGCGUGCAACGUGCAAAUGUUGCGUUAGAAGUUAUAUGUUGUUAGAAGCCUGUGUUGAUACACCGUAUGACUGGACUCCCUUCGGUGUAGUUCCAGUAUAAGCUGGAAAGCUUAUUACUGGAACUACACCUUGACCCAUCACGACAGCCCACUGUCAAGGGCCAUCCUAUAGAGGGGCAAGAGUGACAGCUGAUGGCCAAAUCUUCAUUACACAGACUUUUGGACAUGAGAUUGCGGAAAUAGGCACAUACAGACAUAAAGUACCUGUUGUCACUCAACAAGACACGUUUACGAGGAAAAUGCUGAGGGAAUAGAAUAUUUAGCAACCAUAAGUGUCGCCGCACACGGGCCACACGCGACAAGAAGCAAAAAGGGGCCACAAAAGUAACUGAAGCGCGCGACAACCACUUGUGGCCGGUGGUCGACACUUGUGGUCGGUGGCUGCUACAUUUUAACCCAAGCAUGCAGUAUAUAAUCGCGCGAGUGGCGUGUUGCGGCGUUUUGUGUCAGCGUUUAGUGGCCGGUGCGGGCUACAAGAAGAGCGUGUGGCGUGUGCGGCGAGUCCAUAUAAAAUAUGUGAAAACUGCCUUAAUUUAAGGUCAAUUACAGAAAAUAAAUGCCAGUUAACACCAGCAGUAUUUGGGCUUGUGUUGUUGGUUAGUAACCUAGAAUGUUUUUAAAAAUAAUAUGAACUCAUAGGUUCCCCGUUUUUUUAUGAUACUUCGAACUUGCGCAAGUGUUGAGUUAGCACCGUAGUUUUGCGACAAACCCAACGAAAAGCCCUCAGUACAAUGAGCAAAAAUCAUAAACCAACGUUAGGUCAUAAUUGUAGAAAAAAUCACAAUAAAUUCUAUCUCUAGCUAACUACAAAUUCUUGCUUUUUAACACUGUGUAAGAAAUUUCUAGUCUAUAGUCACUCUGUGGUAAAAAGUAGAUACGUUGUCAAACAUUGUCAAAGUUAAAAGAUAUUACAAAAAUAUCGAUUUCUAAGUUUUGGCUCAAAACUUUCUUUUAGAAAAAGUUAAAUUGACUAGAAAUGCCUAAGCCGUACAAAAGUGGUUCAAGAGAAGUGGUUUUUAGAGAUUUUAAACGAUUUUAAGGACAGAACAAGUGGAGUAGACUAAGACUUAAGUGAUAUUUAUGGUCGAGCAGCUCUAAUGACUGGAAUAUCAUAAACUACUAUUCGUCGUAUUGUUGGUGAAGGGAUGUCAAACGGUGGAAUAUUUGAAACACCUGGAAAACAUAGAAUUGGUCGCCCAAGAAAAAUAUUGGAUGAUUUUCACCUAUGUGCAAUUCGGCAAAAUGCACUUUUUUACACAGUGCGGAAAGUCCAACACUCAGAAAAUUGUUACAUAUUGUUUGGGAAGAGUUAAAUUAUGAUGGAAGUCAUGAACAUAUAAGAAAAAUAUUAUAUUUAAUUGGAUUUAAAUAUAAAAAAUGUCAAUCCAACAGAACAGCUUUGGUUGAAUUCUGAUUAAUUUGAGUAUUUUUUUUUCAAUUUAAUGAAAAAUAAUUAGUACCUAUUUAUUAUUAUUUCUACAUCCAACUGCUUAUUCCGUUUAGCUUGGCCUAGAGCUAGACUGUUCCAAAGAAAAGUGAAAAGGACAUGUCCAGAUUUGUAUGGAAUCUGGGACUAUACCUGAGUGUCAAGCAAGCAGCACUUAAUUUCUUAAAAUCUUUACACUAAGGACGAGUUAAAACAUCCAUCGUUUGAUUCAUUUACUGCGGUUUUCGUCGCCGUAUCGUGUAUAUGUGUUAUGUUCAUCAUUAUCAUAUCAGCCGAUGAAUGUCCACUGCAGGACGUAGGCCUUUUGUUUAUUUUUUUUUGUACAUGACAAAAGGCGUUAUGUUAUUUUGCACAAUUUUAAGUAAUUAAUUAAAUAAUUAAUAAAUUUAAAGUAUCAAACCUUUUUAGGUGAAUUAUACAGGGAUACCAUGUAAGCGAUAGUAGCGACCUCAUUAAUUUCCAUCUCUUUUUUGACAGACUGUAAGCAAUAACUUAGAAUAUACAUGGAUAUAUAUAUGGAUUCGGAUACUCCUCGUUACAAGGCAUCCAAAUUUUGGUACGUACCUACGUACGUAGGUCUCAAACGGUGAAGGAAAAACAUCGCGAGGAAACCUCCAUACCAGAGAAUUUUCUUAAACCUCUGCGUGUGUGUGAAGUCUGCCAAUGCAGUCCGCAUUGGUCUAGCGUGGUGGACUAUUGGCCUAACCAUUCUCAUUCUGAGAGGAGACUCGAGCUCAGCAGUGCGCCGAAUAUGGGUUGAUAAUGAUGAUGAAUAUACAUUUCCUAAGUAAGCUCAUUGCAUUUUAGGCCACAGCUACCACUAUACAGGAAGAAAUUUUUUCAAGUACGGAUAUUUUUAUAUUUUGUACAUAAACAAAAUUUAAUGAACACGUAUUUUUUCUUUUUUUUUUUAACUCAACAAUAACAAAGUUAUCGUUAGCUAAAGUUUAAACAUUUAAACAGAAUUUGAGGGUCACCCUAUCGCUGUACUAAGUAAUAGCACAGUAAUAGGCAACUACAAAAUCAGCUGGUAGGUACUAGGUUAGCGAGCGCCCGCGCCUAGGGCCGUUGACCUUUCUACGUUUAUUUUUGUACCUAUUAUUUUUUAUAAUAAUUAAAGGUAGGUAAUCACUUUUGAGUUGAGUAUCGAAUUUCCCUUCAUACUUUAUUGGGCUUAGGACCAUCAAUAAUGCGUAGUAAUAAUAAAAAUUAUAAACUUUCGAUUGGAAUAAUGAAAUACAAAUGAUGAUUAUUAUUACGCAAACUUUUACAUUAAAGGAUGAUUCGACUUAAAUGCGCAAGCGACGGCAGAUUGUCUGUCACUGGUCGCCCAUCGGCAAUUCGGCAGGCACCCUCAGGGAUUUUUCGAUCCCCUCACCCCUGCCACCCCCGUCAGCCGAAGCCGAAGCGAUAUGACUACUGCCGGUAUUUCUUUGUCGGCGUCUUACAAAGUGCCGCCAGCAGUUGCGCAGUUUGUUUGGGAAUGUGUCCAUUAUUUUGUUAUUUCUGAGACAUAAAUUGAAAAAAAAAAUUACAUAAAAUGUAUCGAACUGUUUGUAGAUUUAUGUUCUAUUAAUGAUACAGAACCACGAAAAAAAAUGUCCGCACUAAAGUCCGAAUCACCCUGUAUGUAUGUUCGCAGUCAAGCGCGAGCUGAUGCUAUAUAAAAACAUAUAUUUGAUUACUAUUAUUGUAAGUAUCUAUUACCUAUUUAUUUAUAGAUCGCGAAAAAAUGACGUCUCAAGAAUACUUACUUGUCGACCUUGGUUGCUUUUGCUACUAAAAUAUCUGUAGGAUGCCCUCUCAUACCUACACAGCGAUAUUGUUUUUAUGAGGUAUAUACGAGCAAAGAUUUUAUAACAUUAGAUAUGCUACUAGCGCGUCGAAACUGAGGCAAACUAAAGUGGCUAUUUGUCAUUAUUUAAUUUAGUGUCAUAGUAAACAACGAAAGUUAUUUAUACAACUAAUACCUAAAUAUUGUCUACAAUGUCGAGUUCUGUGUACAGGAAGUAUAAAAACUAUACAUAUAUACAUCAUUAUAUAAUGUAGUUAUUAUUAUUCGUACCUAUGCAGGUUUAAUUUAGUUAUACAUUUGGAAAUACAAAUGAACCGUUAAUUUUUUUGUCCAAAAUAAAAUAUAACGAAAUUGUAGGUUUAAAAAGCUAUUCGAGUUUGAUUUCUUAUCUGAUACUUCGACAUAAUAAAGACAAUAUUAUUUUUAAACACUUAAAAUUUAAUCAUUUUUCAACAAAUCAAACGAUUGUUUUUCGCCGAACCAGCUGGCCUAUUCACUGUUUUGGUACUAUCAAUCCAUUCACAAAAUGUGAUGUACCUACUAUAAGAUCCACCAGGAGGCACCGGAUGUUAUUCGAGCGUAAGUCUCAAGAUAACUCGCACGGGCUGUAGUUAUACAGGAUCUCAGCUAAAAGGGCUCAGCUAUAUAGACUAACGUUUUAUACGCACGUAUAAGCUCAAAGCGCAUGGUGAGUCAACCUGCGAUACUCCUGAGUUUGGGGAAAAUAUACAUGAAAAGGACAAUGCCAGACAAUGUAUAGGAGUUUAACCCACUAAAAAAAUUCCUUUGCAACAAUAUAUUAUACUUCAUUUUAUUGGAUUUUGUGUACUAUUAAAUAUAUAAUACCUUUUAACCCUUUAUAACUAGGGGUAUAAUUAUUUUCAAAUUACUCCAAGGUGUAAUAAUAUGUGUUUUGACAGUUUGACAGUGUUAUGAUUGUUUAUUUUUUCAUAUUGAUCAGACUUCGCAGCUCUGGAUUCUAGUCAUUUUGAACCUCGAAAGUUCUCGAACCCAAGGUUGAAAUCAGGUUUUUAAAAAAUAAGUAAACAAUGUCUGUUACGAGGAAAUACCGUAAUGGAUUUAAUUACUUUUUUUGACAGAUUUUUAUUCCGGAGUUUAAUAAUAAAAAUGGUUUAUUAAAAAACAAUUAUUUAAAAAUUGGAUAAUUUUAGUACAUUUACAUUUUCCGCAAAAUUCUGAGUUAGGACUGGGUCAGAAUCUGGCAUUCUCCUUUGACUAAAUUGUGGCUCCCUCUUCUGGUAAAAGGCUUGCCAAAAGAAAAAAAGGAGAAGUUGUUGAAGGAAUACCUUAUCCCUGACAACUGUAAGCUGCUACAACCGCUUAAGUUAAAUGCAGAAAUAUCAGCCACGCUAACGGAUCCUGUAAGAAACAGGGAUAACGGCCAUCAAUAGAGCCCUGAAUGUUCUCUUAAGUGAGGAUGACAAGAAGAACGCUAUCCACCAUCUAAGCAAUGCUUACACAGAUUGUUCAUGAUUGUAUUUUUCAUUAUUGUUCAUGAUUGACUGUAAGAGAUGAAACUCUUCUCGGAAAUAAGCUGCCAGAAGGAUCAAGGCAGCCAAAGAUGUUGAACGACAAGGCCUGCAGAUUAAAAAAAGUAAUCUGAGAUCUUCCAGCUCUCAGAAUAGAAAUCGUUACUUUAAUUCGGGAAACUGGUCAGUCCCACCCUGGUUCUUAUCGAACCGAGGAAACCGAGGUGGGAAGAAAAUAACGACCCAGAGCCGCCGUCCAUACUCGAGCUCGACGUAACAGCAGCAAACGCUGAAACCCGCAUCAGCGAAUAAGUCUCGUGCCCCAGCGCCGCAAUUACUCAGGUACACGCAGGGUAUAGCGAGACCAUUUUGGAUACAAAAUACCCUUUUGCAAGGAAGUUUGUCAAACAAACGUCCCUAGCAAAUCCUUUUCCAAGUUAUCGCUCGAGAAAAUGUCAACUGCGAUUCAAAAACUAGUUGAUUUAUUUGCAAUAACAGAAUGUCCUCCAAGUAGUGAUCAGUUUGUCUCCAAAAUGUGUGAAAAGUCAUAACUCAUUUGAGAAACGUGGGUUUUAAUUCAGUAAUUUGUCUUGAUGAUAUUCUCUGUAUCGGAAACACUACAAAAUAGAAACUAAGAUAUAAAGCGUUGAAUGUCGUAUAAUUGAAGACCAUGAACGUUAGCUCAGCGGAAAUGUUUAUUGAAAGAGAAAUUAUAUAAUUUUCCUUUCACCGAGACAUUAUUUUCAUCUACUCGUAAUUAUCUAAUCUUGUGGUUUCCUAACGUUACAUUUAGAAUUGUUAUAAUAUAGUCCAUUCCUGAUACUAUAAAUGCGAAAGUAAGGCUUAAUAGAUUUUGAUAAACUUUGGCUAAUAAAUAAAUUGAACCUUGAAGUAGAAUACAGGCUUCUUUUUAGGGUUCUGAACGUAAGUAGUACAAUAAUAAUAAAACGAGAAAAAUCUACAGAGCAAGUAAUUUUAUUUAAGAAAAAUAAUGAACAUGAACAAAAUUUCCACAAAAUACAAGGAGGAAGGAGGAAGGAGGAAUUAAAAAAUUGCAAAAUACAGGCAAAACCUGUUAAAACUUCAAGGGUUGAAGAAUUUCAAUUAAAUAAAACAGGAAAUACGUACAGCUAGAUAUUUAAUUUAGGUUACUAAGAUUACAUAAUAAAUAUUUAGAGUAUAUCAAAAUUCUAAAUUUAAAUAUCAAAUAAUACACACACAACUCAACAACAUAAUAAACAGAUAUACAAGGUCUCCGACUACCUUGUCGAAGGAAAUUUGGCAGUUCCUCCUCACACUGUGGAACAUUAAAAAAGACGUAGGUACAGC
Molecule: long non-coding RNA, 6505 nt
Organism: Bicyclus anynana (squinting bush brown)
Lineage: Eukaryota; Metazoa; Arthropoda; Insecta; Lepidoptera; Nymphalidae
Exons: 3
Source: RefSeq, a predicted model, not a curated record